GAUGAAGAACGCAGCGAAAUGCGAUAACUAAUGUGAAUUGCAGAAUUCAGUGAAUCAUCGAGACUUUGAACGCACAUUGCGCCCCCUGGUAUUCCGGGGGGCAUGCCUGUCCGAGCGUCAUUGCUGCCCUCAAGCACGGCUUGUGUGUUGGGCUCCGUCCCCCCGGGGACGGGUCCGAAAGGCAGCGGCGGCACCGAGUCCGGUCCUCGAGCGUAUGGGGCUUUGUCACCCGCUCUGUAGGCCCGGCCGGCGCCAGCCGACAACCAAUCAUCCUUUUUUCAGGUUGACCUCGGAUCAGGUAGGGAUACCCGCUGAACUUAAGCAUAUCAAUAAGCGGAGGA
Molecule: unclassified non-coding RNA, 341 nt
Filed under: soil metagenome
Description: partial contains 5.8S ribosomal RNA, internal transcribed spacer 2, and large subunit ribosomal RNA
Rfam family: 5.8S ribosomal RNA (bases 1-120)
Source: RNAcentral